AACCGCUACAUUCCACAACUUGGAAAGGAUCAUCUUGCUUGGUCAAACUUGUACUAUUUGACCUGUUUAACGCCCGUUUUAGGAGGACACUACUGAUGAUCAAGAACACGAUCUGGCUGUCUAUGAGAGACAGAUUCCUCACACUCGAGCUGGUGACAAACAGCUCUCUGGCAGCACUGGGAUCCAGAAUCCAGUGAGUUUUGUUCAUGCAACAGUGCAGCAGGAGAAUGAAACCUGUGUGAACUCAGCCAACAAUGCUUUCACUGGUGUAUCUGUUUAUACCCAGCAACUUUCUGUCUUAUUUAGUUAGGGCGAAUUAUAUGAUUUAGGGCACCACCUUUUAUAAUUUGUAUUUGUGAUAGCUUUGUAGACUUAGUUACUGUUGUGAGUUUAGAUAUACAUGGGGACUCAAAUCCAUACACAUGUAGUUAGAAACUGCAAAAUUUAAUGCACACUUUUAUUCUCAGUAUAUUUCAUUGCACAUGUAUAAACAUAUUUUAUUUUACAUUAAUUAUAUACAUGUAUCAACAGCAGAUGAAUAAGGUCUAAAGGUUAUAUAAAAUCACUGUAAAUAUCAAGCAAUUCACAAAUAUGAUAUGCCAUAGCACAGUGCAUGUUACACUAGCCAGAUCCUAUCACUUGCCUCACAUUGACAUGUACAUAUUGUAUGUUCUUUGUCAAAUUUGAGAAAUGAAGAGCAAUGCUAGCCUCAUAUAGAUGCAGUUGCAUAUCUUUUAUGAUCAAUAAAAUGUUGAAA
Molecule: long non-coding RNA, 757 nt
Organism: Branchiostoma floridae (Florida lancelet)
Lineage: Eukaryota; Metazoa; Chordata; Leptocardii; Amphioxiformes; Branchiostomatidae
Exons: 3
Source: RefSeq, a predicted model, not a curated record